CAGUAGCCGCGGGAAUACAGAGGGUGCGAGCGUUAAUCGGAUUUACUGGGCGUAAAGCGUGUGUAGGCGGCUUCUUAAGUCGGAUGUGAAAUCCCUGAGCUUAACUUAGGAAUUGCAUUCGAUACUGGGAAGCUAGAGUAUGGGAGAGGAUGGUAGAAUUCCAGGUGUAGCGGUGAAAUGCGUAGAGAUCUGGAGGAAUACCGAUGGCGAAGGCAGCCAUCUGGCCUAAUACUGACGCUGAGGUACGAAAGCAUGGGGAGCAAACAGGAUUAGAGACCCGAGUAGUCCCUGUCUCUUAUAC
Molecule: ribosomal RNA, 301 nt
Filed under: uncultured bacterium
Lineage: Bacteria
Description: partial 16S ribosomal RNA
Rfam family: Bacterial small subunit ribosomal RNA
Source: RNAcentral